CCCUUAGACACUCUAGGCGGCACGCGCGCUACAAUGGGUGGAAGACCGUGUUACUGCCUUCGAAAGAAGGGGUGAAUCACGAAUUCUUACCCGUGAAUGGGAUAGUUUGUUGCAAUUUUCGGACUUGAACUAGGAAUCCCUUGUAAGCAUGCUCAAGAAUAGCGUGUUGAAUACGUCCCUGCCGUUUGUACACACCGCCCGUCGUUUCUUCCGACUGAUACUCAUUGUGAGUUGCAAGGACGCUUCUUUGUGAAAUUGCUGCGAAUGCUUUGUAUUGGAGGAAGAAAAAGUCGUAACA
This 298-nucleotide ribosomal RNA is filed under the name uncultured eukaryote. Its description in RNAcentral is "partial 18S ribosomal RNA". It matches the Rfam family "Eukaryotic small subunit ribosomal RNA", at positions 1470 to 1796 of the family's 1831-position model. The record is from RNAcentral.